RNAcentral lists this ribosomal RNA (253 nucleotides) under uncultured bacterium. RNAcentral describes it as "partial 16S ribosomal RNA". It matches the Rfam family "Bacterial small subunit ribosomal RNA", at positions 524 to 776 of the family's 1533-position model. The record is from RNAcentral.
GACGAAGGGGGCUAGCGUUGUUCGGAAUUACUGGGCGUAAAGCGCGUGUAGGCGGUUGUUCAAGUCAGGUGUGAAAGCCUUGAGCUCAACUCAAGAAAUGCACUUGAUACUGGAUGACUAGAGGACCGGAGAGGAUAGUGGAAUUCCCGGUGUAGUGGUGAAAUACGUAGAGAUUGGGAAGAACACCAGUGGCGAAGGCGGCUAUCUGGACGGUUUCUGACGCUAAGACGCGAAAGCGUGGGGAGCAAACAGG